GGGCCCCGGGCCCCCGGGCCCCGCGGGCCUGGUGCCAGUGCUUCUCUCUCCCCUCGGGGAGGCCCUGAAGCCCCGGGCCCGGCAGCCCUUUCCUGAAGCAGCGACGGCCCACCUGGCUCCUCCUCCCCGAGGUGACAUGUUGAGGUUGGGUGGUGCGUUUCCUGCCACUGCAGAACCCCCACGGUUUCGGGGAAGGCCUAGCCGUGUCGGACACAUGCCUGUUGCACCCCAUAUGGGGCUCUCUCCGGAACCUUCGCUCUCUCUAAGAGAAGGGUGGGGCAGGAAGAAAGAGAAUCCUGAAGCAGACUCCCUGCUGAGCGGGGAGCCCGUUGUGGGCUCCAUCCCAGGACCCUGAGAUCAUGACCUCAGCUGAAAUCAAGAGUUGGAUGGUCAAUCGACUGAGCCACUCAGGUGCCUCCCCCCUUUCUUUUAUAAUACAGUUUUUUUAGAAUAAUUUUUUCUUUAACAACCCUGGCAAAUCCAGCCCAGGCUACCUCAGAGAGCCACUUUUUUUUUUUUUUAAGAUGCAAAGCUUUAAAUAGGAGCCAGAACUAAAAGACAUUGCAUGUGUAAUGAAAUGCUUUUAGCCUUUAGUUCCUACCUAACUUUGCUCUACCCUUAUUGUCCCCCAAAGUCCUUGACCAGUGUUAAAUUUCUCCCUGAGAGGGAAUGGGGUUUGUGUGUGGAAAUCCUUGGGCUCCCUCUAGUGGUUAGAGUGUGCAUUCAGCACUGACUGGCAAACACACUGCGUGUGUUGGGAAGCUGUAGUUGCUGUUGUUUUAGUGCUAACGUUAGGAAACUUAGGGUGUUGCUUUCCCCCUCCAGGGAGCUUAGCAGAGUAUCAGAAAUGUCCUGUCUGUACCUUUGUGCAACUGAUUCUUUAACCCUUGCUAGUUCUCCGCUUGGGACUCGUGAAAUGGGUAGGUAGUUCAGCCAUUUUGCAAAUGUUCCUUUGAUGUUCUACCCAGGGAGCCAGUUAUGUCAAGACAGUCUAUCAAACGCAGCCCAAGUGGACCACAUGCAUGGGAAGAUCCUAGAGUAUUUCUUUAAAAUGAAGAUUUCUGUGUGCCACCCCAGACCUCUGAAUCAGAAUUUCGGGGAUGCGGAUGGAAUUAGAGGGUAUUGUGCUAAAUGAAAUCAGUCAGUCAGAGAAAGACAAAUACCAUAUGAUUUCACUCAUAUGUGGAAUUUAAGAAACAAGACAGAUGAACAGAGGGGAAGGGAAGGAAAAAUAAAAUAAGAUGAAAAUAGGGAGGCA
Molecule: long non-coding RNA, 1258 nt
Filed under: Ursus maritimus (polar bear)
Lineage: Eukaryota; Metazoa; Chordata; Mammalia; Carnivora; Ursidae
Description: lncRNA (ENSUMAG00000022638.1)
Source: RNAcentral